RNAcentral lists this long non-coding RNA (2849 nucleotides) under Homo sapiens (human). Its description in RNAcentral is "HSALNT0212600". Lineage: Eukaryota; Metazoa; Chordata; Mammalia; Primates; Hominidae. The record is from RNAcentral.
AGCAGACCCCAUCCAAAAAAGUCUUCUACAUGGUGUGCACACUGGUAUCAACAAGCAAUGAAAGCAAAAAAGAGAGAAUGUACUAAUGAUAGCAAACAUUUCAGUGCUUUCUAAAUAACAGGCAUUGUCCCAAGCUAUGUAUAGCUUAUAUAUAUUAUAUAAUCAUUGUAUAUUAUAUCAUAGUUUGUAUAUAACAUAUAUAUAGCAUAUAUAUACAUAUCUGCCCAUUUGAUCUCUUGACAAUGUGCUGAACCCAUUUUACAGAGGUAAAGCUUGAGGCUCUGAGCAGCUGUACACUCGCCAAAGAUCUUGGCUCACUGGUUCUGGUGGGCACUACAGAGAUGUUUUAAGAAUGACAGCUCAUCAGAGUGGGAGCUAGAAAGCCCUCUGAUCCCCAGGAGGGACACAUAGAGGAGCUGGAACAGAAGGAAUUGGAUUUGAGUUGAGAGGGAUUUGUUUCACAGUUCCCAAGAGUCUGAGUGACUUGCCCGAGUCUCAUGCAGCAACUCCACGGGAGAACAUGUACAGGAUCCGCUUCUCUUGCUAGUUCAAUGCUAUUUCCACCUAAUUCACAGUUCUCUUGGGAGGAAGAGAAAGGAACAGAAGUUAGCCUUAACUAUUUAAGGUGAGGUCUUGGAGAGAUAAGAGAAAGAAUUGACUCUGAGAAAUGAAGAGAAAAUAAGGUAAGAAAGUUACAAAAAAAGAAAAAAAGAAAAGGAAAGAGAUAGGGGUAGGACCCAAAUAUUGUCACUAACCAGUCUAGGAAUAGGCAAGCAUGUAGAUGUAUGUUACCCUAUGAAAGCCUAUGCCAGUCACCAACAACCACACACUCACCUAUUUUAGGAGCAUGUUUAAGUACAUAUGCUGGUGUUAGGGUUAUAAUACAAUCCUUUUUUUAAUGGCAUUUAUGCAUUCUAGCAAAGAGGUCUGAAAAGAUAAUUUCUCCCAAACUAAUCUGCAUUUUUUUCUUCUUCUUUUUGAGACGGAGUCUCAUUCUUUCACCUAGGCUGAGAUCUUGGCUCACUGCAACUUCCGCCUCCCAGGUUCAAGUGAUUCUUGUGCUUUAGCCUCCUAAGUAGCUGGGAUUACAGGCAUGCACCACCACGUCCAGCUAAUUUUUGUAUUUUUAGUAGAGACAGGGUUUCACCUUGUUGCCCAGGCUCGUCUCAAACUCCUGACCUUAAGUGAUCCGCCCACCUCGGCCUCCUAAAGUGCUCCAAGUACAGGUGUGAGCCACCACACCUGGCCUCAAUCCUGCAUUUUUUGACCUCUAUUAUUAUUAUACAGUCCCUGACUCACGACACAGUUUUUUGACUUUAUGAUGGUGUGAAAGUGAUAUGCAUUCAGUAGAAACAGUAUUUCAAAUUUUGAAUUUUGAUCUUUUCCCAGGCUAGCCACAUGUGCAUUAAGAUACUUGCUCAUAAUGCUGGGCUGUGGCAGCAAGUUUUGGCUCCCAGCCAGCUACUGAUCACAAGGGUAAACCACCAAUACUCUGCAGUGUACUGUGUUGCCAGGUGAUUUUGGCCAACUGCAGGCUAAGUGUUCUCAGCACGUUUCAGGUAGGCUAGGCUAUGACAAUCAGUAGGUUAGAUGAUGGCUUUUUCGUGUUUUUUUUUUAUUAUUGUUGUUGUUUUUGAGACAGUCUCACUCUGUUGCCCAGGCUGGAGUGCAGUGGUGCGAUCAUGGCUCAAUGCCGCCUCUACCUUCCCAGGCUCAGGUGAUCCUCCCACCUCAGCCUCUCGAACAGCUGGGACUAUUGCUGUGCACCACCACUUCUGGCUAUUUUUUUUCUAUUUUUUGAAGAGAUGGGAUUUUGCCAUAUUGCCCAGGCUGGUCUCAAAAUCCUGAGCUCAAGCAAUCCACCUGCCUUGGCCUUCCAAAGUGCUAGGAUUACAGGCGUGAACUACCACGCCUGGCCUAAAUGCAUUUUUGACUUACAACAUUUUUUUUUUUUUUUUUUCCUGAGAUGGAGUCUCUGUCUGUCGCCCAGGCUACAGUGUAGCGACACGAUCUCGGCUCACUGCAACCUCUGCCUCCCAGGCUCAAGCGAUUCUCCUGCCUCAGCCUCCUGAGUAGCUGGGAUUACAGGCAUGCACCACCACGCCCGGCUAAUUUUGUAUUUUUAGUAGAGAUGGGGCUCCAUCAUGUUGGCCACGCUGGUCUUGAACUCCUGACCUCGUGAUCUGCCUGCCUCGGCCUCCCAAAGUGCUGGGAUUACAGGCGUGAGCCACCGCGCCUGGCCGACUUACAUUUUCAAUUUAUGAUGGGUUUAUCAGACAUAAAACCCCAUCCUAAGUUGAGGAGCAUAUGUACUGGGGGAUUUUGGUUGGAGAAUCUUGAUGACCAAGUGUUUCAGAGGCCAGUCCCAUGGCACAUUGAAUGCUAGUUCUGUGGAUCCAGGAAGUUAAUGGACCCACCUAGCACUUUAUUUCUUCCCUUGCAGUCUUCCUAAUCCCGUCCCCCAGAUGUCUUCCCUCCCAGCUUCCCUAGAUAACAAAAACUUCCCUUAUGCCUAAGGAGUCUGGGUGAGCCCCUGGAUAUCUUAGGGGCUUUAUUGUCUUUCCCAGCUUUAGUAGGGGAACUAACAAAGGCAGAUAGACUUCUAAGCUAGCAUUCUGUACUUUGGCUGGAAUAUUCCACAAGCUCAUGGCUUUGGGCCAUAAGCCCAAAGGAGUCAUUUCCCAACUUCAGUAUUUUGAAACAUUAGAUAUCCUGUUUCCUUACAACGUGACCAUCUUGCAGAUAAGCACUGCUAGAUCAUCUGCACAUUCGAGUAAAUCCUGUUGUGAAUUGAACAGAGUAACUCCUCUUGCUUAUCCAGGCAAUGUUAAGUGCAGGGCACAGGGAAG